GAAAUGCGAUAAGUAAUGUGAAUUGCAGAAUUCAGUGAAUCAUCGAAUCUUUGAACGCACAUUGCGCCCGGCAGUAAUCUGCCGGGCAUGCCUGUCCGAGCGUCAUUUCAGCCCUCGAGCCGCUCUCGCUAGCGGAUCGGUGUUGGGGCACUACGGCGGCUUCGCCGUAGGCCCCGAAAUGAAGUGGCGGUCCCGCCGCGGCGCCCCCAUGCGUAGUAACGUCUAGUCUCGCAUCGGGUCCCGGCGGAGGCCUGCCGUCAAGCCUUUCUAUCUCAGAACAGUUUGACCUCGGAUCAGGUAGGGUUACCCGCUGAACUUAA
Molecule: unclassified non-coding RNA, 320 nt
Filed under: uncultured fungus
Lineage: Eukaryota; Fungi
Also listed under: 1 other name
Description: sequence contains ITS1
Rfam family: 5.8S ribosomal RNA (bases 1-105)
Source: RNAcentral